RNAcentral lists this ribosomal RNA (465 nucleotides) under uncultured bacterium. RNAcentral describes it as "partial 16S ribosomal RNA". It matches the Rfam family "Bacterial small subunit ribosomal RNA", at positions 28 to 507 of the family's 1533-position model. The record is from RNAcentral.
GACGAACGCUGGCGGCGUGCUUAACACAUGCAAGUCGAACGGAAAGGCCCUGCUUGCAGGGUACUCGAGUGGCGAACGGGUGAGUAACACGUGGGUGAUCUGCCCUGCACUUCGGGAUAAGCCUGGGAAACUGGGUCUAAUACCGGAUAGGAGCCAUUUUUAGUGUGAUGGUUGGAAAGUUUUUUCGGUGUAGGAUGAGCUCGCGGCCUAUCAGCUUGUUGGUGGGGUAAUGGCCUACCAAGGCGGCGACGGGUAGCCGGCCUGAGAGGGUGGACGGCCACAAUGGGACUGAGAUACGGCCCAGACUCCUACGGGAGGCAGCAGUGGGGAAUAUUGCACAAUGGGCGCAAGCCUGAUGCAGCGACGCCGCGUGGGGGAUGACGGCCUUCGGGUUGGAAACUCCUUUCGCUAGGGACGAAGCUUUUUGUGACGGUACCUAGAUAAGAAGCACCGGCUAACUACGUG